RNAcentral lists this transfer RNA (53 nucleotides) under Thaumamermis cosgrovei. RNAcentral's name for it is "tRNA-Glu". The record is from RNAcentral. Lineage: Eukaryota; Metazoa; Nematoda; Enoplea; Mermithida; Mermithidae.
AAGAAUAUAGUGUAAAAGCACAAAGAACUUUCAUUUCUUAGGUAACAUUCUUA